Molecule: ribosomal RNA, 451 nt
Filed under: uncultured bacterium
Lineage: Bacteria
Description: partial 16S ribosomal RNA
Rfam family: Bacterial small subunit ribosomal RNA
Source: RNAcentral
GUGGGGAAUAUUGGACAAUGGGCGAAAGCCUGAUCCAGCCAUGCCGCGUGUGUGAAGAAGGCCUUUUGGUUGUAAAGCACUUUAAGCGAGGAGGAGGCUACCGAGAUUAAUACUCUUGGAUAGUGGACGUUACUCGCAGAAUAAGCACCGGCUAACUCUGUGCCAGCAGCCGCGGUAAUACAGAGGGUGCGAGCGUUAAUCGGAUUUACUGGGCGUAAAGCGUGCGUAGGUGGCCAAUUAAGUCAAAUGUGAAAUCCCCGAGCUUAACUUGGGAAUUGCAUUCGAUACUGGUUGGCUAGAGUAUGGGAGAGGAUGGUAGAAUUCCAGGUGUAGCGGUGAAAUGCGUAGAGAUCUGGAGGAAUACCGAUGGCGAAGGCAGCCAUCUGGCCUAAUACUGACACUGAGGUGCGAAAGCAUGGGGAGCAAACAGGAUUAGAUACCCCAGUAGUCC